UCUAACACUUACCCCAAAAUGGUUACACAAACAUCACACACUGUUUAUCUGCUACCUUAUAUGCUUCUUCUGCUUUUGUUUAUCUCCUCUCAAGUUGGAGUCGGCGAAGCUAUACGCUACGAACUAGGCCCAAAGUCGUUGCCGUGUCCACCAUCGUAUCCCAUGUCUUAUCCGCCUCCUGGACCGCCUUCCAUUUUUUUUCAAGCAUCUUUAUCCCUAAACUCCAAUGGGGUUUCUUUAAUUUUUUUUUUUCGGACUAAAAAAAAAAUUAAAAAGUGCACCAAUCGUGGGUUGUCACGUGUUUUUGGGACCCACGAACAGUGCAUAAAACCCAAAGUAAGCGGUUCUUAUUUCACGCUUUUGGUGACCGAUUUUAAAGAAAUUUGUGGGGCCUACAGAAAAAGAAACUCAUUAACAAACCCCAAUAAUUGUGCUCUAAAUCGCUAAGAGAAAGAGGUCCAUAAAUGAAGAGGAGGAGGAAGGCGGCAUAGUCGCCAAAUUCUGCCAGCCGGAAACCAGUGAGAGCUAAUAUCAGAGAGGGUGGAGUUACUAUAUGCACGUUAAUACCUUGUAGUAAUGAUAAAUGAUCCAUCUAGUUAUCUCAUUAUUAAAAUAAAGUU
Brassica oleracea var. oleracea is the source of this 620-nucleotide long non-coding RNA. RefSeq lists it as uncharacterized. Lineage: Eukaryota; Viridiplantae; Streptophyta; Magnoliopsida; Brassicales; Brassicaceae. The record is from RefSeq and is a predicted model, not a curated record. The transcript has 3 exons.